This is a long non-coding RNA of Apis mellifera (honey bee), 409 nucleotides long. RefSeq lists it as uncharacterized. The transcript is spliced from 3 exons. The record is from RefSeq and is a predicted model, not a curated record. NCBI's taxonomy places the organism in Eukaryota, Metazoa, Arthropoda, Insecta, Hymenoptera, Apidae.
GUCUUCCUCUUCUCCGUUGUGAUUGGCAACAAGUCUGUCAAUAUGGCACCGUGCAAUGCCUCCACCAAAUCAGCGGAAUUGCAUUCCUCGUCGGGAUGGAGCCACCAUUCUUCCGUCGCUGUGGUCACCUCGGUGGCGAAGCUUUGCGUCUCUACCACUUCCAUGCUAUUGCUAUCGAGAUCGGCGACCAAUCGAUUAUGUGCCUGCACGUGAACGUAAUGAAUAAAACGCAUUAUCGAUAAGGCAAAUAUAUAGAGAAGAAAAGAAGGAAAAAAGUUUCGUCGUAUUUAACGCAUGGUACGAGAAUUGGAACAAAUUUAUAAAUUUUCCUCGUCGAUGUCCUGCUUUCUUAAUUCUUUAUUAGCAACUAUUGAAAUAAUAAAUUCAAUGAUUUAUUAAAAAUAUAGUA